AUUGGAUGACGCCACGGUCGGUAUUAGCUUAGUUGGCGGGUAAAGGCCCACCAAGGCGACGAUCCGUAGCUGGUCUGAGAGGAUGAUCAGCCACACUGGAACUGAGACACGGUCCAGACUCCUACGGGAGGCAGCAGUAGGGAAUAUUGGACAAUGGGCGCAAGCCUGAUCCAGCCAUGCCGCGUGAGUGAAGAAGGCCCUCGGGUUGUAAAGCUCUUUUGUCCGGAAAGAAAAGCGCCGGGUUAAUACCCUGGUGUCCUGACGGUACCGGAAGAAUAAGCACCGGCUAACUUCGUG
RNAcentral lists this ribosomal RNA (297 nucleotides) under uncultured bacterium. RNAcentral's name for it is "partial 16S ribosomal RNA". It matches the Rfam family "Bacterial small subunit ribosomal RNA", at positions 220 to 507 of the family's 1533-position model. The record is from RNAcentral.